GCUCAGGAUGAACGCGGGCGGCGUGCCUAAUACAUGCAAGUCGAGCGAACAGACGAGGAGCUUGCUCCUCUGACGUAGCGGCGGACGGGUGAGUAACACGUGGAUAACCUACCUAUAAGACUGGGAUAACUUCGGGAAACCGGAGCUAAUACCGGAUAAUAUAUUGAACCGCAUGGUUCAAUAGUGAAAGACGGUUUUGCUGUCACUUAUAGAUGGAUCCGCGCCGCAUUAGCUAGUUGGUAAGGUAACGGCUUACCAAGGCAACGAUGCGUAGCCGACCUGAGAGGGUGAUCGGCCACACUGGAACUGAGACACGGUCCAGACUCCUACGGGAGGCAGCAGUAGGGAAUCUUCCGCAAUGGGCGAAAGCCUGACGGAGCAACGCCGCGUGAGUGAUGAAGGUCUUCGGAUCGUAAAACUCUGUUAUUAGGGAAGAACAAAUGUGUAAGUAACUAUGCACGUCUUGACGGUACCUAAUCAGAAAGCCACGGCUAACUACGUGCCAGCAGCCGCGGUAAUACGUAGGUGGCAAGCGUUAUCCGGAAUUAUUGGGCGUAAAGCGCGCGUAGGCGGUUUUUUAAGUCUGAUGUGAAAGCCCACGGCUCAACCGUGGAGGGUCAUUGGAAACUGGAAAACUUGAGUGCAGAAGAGGAAAGUGGAAUUCCAUGUGUAGCGGUGAAAUGCGCAGAGAUAUGGAGGAACACCAGUGGCGAAGGCGACUUUCUGGUCUGUAACUGACGCUGAUGUGCGAAAGCGUGGGGAUCAAACAGGAUUAGAUACCCUGGUAGUCCACGCCGUAAACGAUGAGUGCUAAGUGUUAGGGGGUUUCCGCCCCUUAGUGCUGCAGCUAACGCAUUAAGCACUCCGCCUGGAGACGCGAGUUGG
RNAcentral lists this ribosomal RNA (885 nucleotides) under Staphylococcus sp. M_Sw_HS_08/11_5_1(2). Its description in RNAcentral is "bacterial SSU rRNA". It matches the Rfam family "Bacterial small subunit ribosomal RNA", at positions 22 to 873 of the family's 1533-position model. Lineage: Bacteria; Bacillati; Bacillota; Bacilli; Caryophanales; Staphylococcaceae. The record is from RNAcentral.